AAAAAAACAAAAAAAAAAAAAAGGUACCAAGACGAGAUACCAACAAAACAUUAAUGGACGGCAGCACCAAACGCAUUAUCCAGCCAAUUGGUUACUAAAUUCUGCAGCCAUUUAUACACUAAAAACAGAACGCAGCAGCUCUUCACGAUAUAACGCGUUAAAUUUAGAAGCGAACACAAAGUGUAAUAAAGAAUUAGGCAAAAGAUAAUUGCGAAACUAACUAAAGAAUUGGACAAAAAAAAAGUAACUAAAGAAUUGGACAAAAAAAAAGUAACUAAAGAAAAUGGAAAGCAACGAACCCGGGCCGAGAAGUGGUGAAAGAUUUUCGUGCAGAAUCCGGGGCUCCACCAUUCUCAGAUGAUUUCUUCCU
This 370-nucleotide unclassified non-coding RNA is filed under the name Hevea brasiliensis (rubber tree). The record is from RNAcentral. Lineage: Eukaryota; Viridiplantae; Streptophyta; Magnoliopsida; Malpighiales; Euphorbiaceae.